RNAcentral lists this transfer RNA (91 nucleotides) under Rasamsonia emersonii. Its description in RNAcentral is "tRNA-Glu". It matches the Rfam family "tRNA". Rfam says of the family: Transfer RNA (tRNA) molecules are approximately 80 nucleotides in length. RNAcentral also lists the same sequence under 1 other name. Lineage: Eukaryota; Fungi; Ascomycota; Eurotiomycetes; Eurotiales; Trichocomaceae. The record is from RNAcentral.
UCCGUAGUGGUGUAGUGGUUAACAUCGCUGUCUCUCAUUCCUCAACUGGAUGAGGACACAGCAGCCCGGGGUUCGAUUCCCCGCUACGGAA